AAACAUUUAUUAAAAAUUAUAUUGUAACUAUUUGAAUAAAAUAAAAAUAUUUAAUAAAAUAUUCUAAUUUCUUGUAAAACAAUAUUUAUAGAGUCAUCAGUAAAUAAUUUUAAUAAUGUAAAAGCUAAAUAAAUUCAUACGUACUAUAAUACAAAUAACUGGGAUAUGAAAUUUACUUUACAGUGACUCGUGGGCCCACAAGGAACAAAAGUGCACAAAGGUAGUAAACCUACAGUUUUUGGAGUAGUAAAGCCGACUAUAAUCCUUGACGAUAUCUACUAUCCACAGGCUACCUCGGGCCUGAAAUGAUUGAAAAUGAGGGUGGUGAGAUUAUAAAAUCUCAGUGAGUAAAUAGGUACCAUCUAAACCAUCUAAAGUCGAGUAAAUGGAGACAGAUAAAACAGUUUAACAUACUAAAAUUCAUCACCUUUCAACUUGUUUCAACCAAAUAAAAUUAAUUCAUAUAAAUCGAGUAAUUAACAUGACUUAUGAAUUUCUUAAAAGCUUUGGCUCGUGUCAAAAUCAUUAUCAUACUCAGUCAUCAGGGAUACCUUGGCUGAGGGCUAUCCCAAACCGAGUCCUCCAAGGUUGUUAAAAAGUUAUGUACGCAUAAAUCAUGUAUUUAUUUUGAAAACAUAGCCGUUCCUUGGCGUUGGCGAAGUUCCCCUCACAUGGUGGUUGGGCGUGAAGUGAACUCUAAAGUUUGACCUCGGGAGUUAUCCUACAUGCCUCUCUAAUCGAGGUACAUAUAUAUGACCAGGUUUUGUGCCCCUCUAAUAGGUUGGUCCAUAGAACCAGCCCACUACAGCAAGCUAAACCCACCAUACAAUAAAAUUUGCAAUAGCAUGACAUGGCAAUUAUUUUAUUUUACACCCUCUCAAGGCAAAUUAACAGUUCAUACAUUUUCAACACAAAUACUAAUUCAGCCAUUCAUGCAAAUAUUAUCAUAAUCCAUUCAAUUCAAACCAUGAUUUAUAACACAGCAAUUAGUCUCCAAUUACUCCAUUUUCAAAACCAUCUUUCAAUUUCAAGACAAUAUAUAAAAUCAUUUCAUUUAAACACAUUCUGUUUAUAAAACCUAAAAAUUUACCAUUUAAACUCAUUUUCCAUAAAAUCACAAAAUCGGAUAAAAACCACUUUAGAUAAUUAAGACGAUAGUAAGGUUACUCACAGUACUGGGAGUUUGAUAUACUCCUAUUCCCGAUCUUCGGGCACAAUCUCUUUACCCUUGUUAGAGGGCUCACCACUUAUACAUCAUACGUGACACGAAUUUAAAUAAAUUGUGUCAAUUUAUCAUAAACUAUUUCAGGCUCUAUAAAUCUAUAUGAAUGCACGAAAUGUGAUGCAAAAUGUUUGAAUAGCCGUUUAAAUACGGUAUUCGACCUAAUUCGCACUAUUCUCGGUGUAAUUAGCUAAAAUCUCUAAUUUAACUCCAAAUCGAUUUCUUUCACUUUCUACACUCCAAUUAUACUUAAAAUACCUCAAUGAUUGUGAAUAUGAUUCAAUUUAUCAGUCCGAACCAUAAAUCGCACAUGUCUAUACAUUAGGUAAAAAUUUGGAUCUUCAUGCCAAAAUUUCCCAUUAAAUUUCUAGCCUCACCAAUCAUUAAAUACCACCAAAAUGUCAUGAAAUAUCAUCAAUUUCAGCCUCAAUAUCCUCCCUAGAAAAUUCAGCCUCUUGUGGGUUUGUGAAGAACAAAGUGAUUCCUUGCUAGAUUUUCAUACUUUCCAUUACCAAACAACCAAAAACACUUAAUUAGCUUGAAAUCUAGCAAAAUCAAUGCUCAAAACCUCUCCUCUCAAAUUCGGCCAGCAUGGGUUCAUCAUGCAAACUUGAGUUCUAAGCAUGGAAAAUGAAAAAGAAAGCAUGGGUAGUGUAAAUCACAAGAUAAAAUCACAAAAUUUUACCUUUAUUAGCUUAAUCCCUUGAAAUCCCACACUUUUUCUUCAAUUUUCCCACCUAGGGUUUGUGUUCUUUCCUUUCCUCUUCACUUCAUGCUUUGGCCGGCCAUAUGGGUGAGACUAAGAGAGUUUUAAAUAGAUUUUACAAGGAAAUUCUAGAAUAAUCCAAGCUUGACACAUGGCAUGUUUCCAUUGGUCCAUGUGUAAUACUUAUCCAUUAAGCAAUCUCUCUCCACCACAUAAAAUGUUUCAAUUAUCCACAAUGUAAAAUGUUAAUGGCUGAAAACCAUGGGCAUGACAAGUGUUAAGUGGUAUAAAAUUUCAAAAUUUUAACUUUGCCCUCGUAAACUUAUAAAAUUAUCGUUUUGCCCCUAAGACUACAAAAAUGUCAAAAUUUAAAUUUUUCACCUCUAAAACUCAAAUCAUACUCCAAUGAGUCAAAUGUGAUCAAAAUCUUUUCUAAAAAUUCUCAUUUUGUCCCUAGAACAUGAAAAUUCCAAAUUGACUCCAAUUCAGCCCUCGAACUCCAAAUCAUCAUUUAAAGUCAUUCUAGAGUUUUAAAAUUCUCAAUUUCAUAUUAAGAUUUCUAUUUAGACUAGUUCGAGGCUUAAUUCAACUUAAUAGUACUCUUUGGUAUAAUAUCAACUUUUGACGAUUUUUCGAGACUUUCCAAGUAUGCAAGCAUAUUGUCAAUCACCUGAAGGACAUGGCAAGUACUUUAUAAGGUCGGGCUUGACACAUAUGGAGUCAACAGUAGUAAAGAUGAAAAAUGAUGAAAAGUUCAAAAAUAUAAUUGAAUUUAUCUCACUACCUAAUAAAAGAAAUAGGUUUGAGGGGUGUGAAAUUAAGAAAAAAGGAAAGAAAGAAAAAGAAAAAGAAUGAAGCGUUGAACAAAAAAAAUUUUUUGAUGAAAAAAAAAAGGUAUUCUAGGUGAAGGAAAAUAAAAAUCUAAAUAGGUCUUAAAAUCACUAUCUACUUAAGGUGAUUUAAGCCAUUUUAAUAUCCCAUACCUUACCUUGACCCUAGCCAUACAUUACAAGCUUGAUAAAGUCCUAUUGAUCUUUAACUUAGUAUUAGUCUACAUUACUAGAUAGAGAUGAAAAGCAAACUUAUAAAAUUUUAUUACUAAUUUGAAUUUUGCAUGAAUAUAAACUUCUUUGGAUUGUACAAUUUCUAGGUAAAAAGAUUGCACAUACACACGAAAAUCCAUUUAACUAUAAGCUUGCAUUUGAAUUAAAACAUAAACUUGAAUAAUAUUUUUGUGUUGUUUAGAGUUGAGAAUUUCGAUUAACUUUUGAGGAUAUUAAAGGUGAUUGUUAAGUUGGUGUAAUUGAUUUCUUGUUAAGUUAUUUUCUUAUAAUGUUUUGCUCAAGGACUAGCAAAAUCUUCAGUUUGGAGGUGUAAUAACUCUAUUUUACAAACUUAUUUUGACACAUUUUGGGAGCUUAAGUAGCUAGAUUUUUGAGAUUUUAGGUUCAGAUUUUAGCAUUUUAGAUAUUUUUCUAGUUUAAGUUUAAUUACACAUUGAGUAGUUAAUUUAAAUUAUUUUAGUUUAAUUUUACGUUAUUUUAUUUUAAAUUACUUUAAGAGUAGUUAUUGCUGGUUUCUCUUAUUGCUUUUGCGGGAAAUUUGAUGAAAUGGCUCAUUUGAUGAAAAUCCAUGCAAGUAUGGUGAUGGCUUCAUAUAUGUUGUAGUAUUUUGCCCACAUCUCUCUCUACAGAACUCCAAAUGAGAUGAUUCUUAAACCACUAGAACUCUAAGAGGAAGGGAUACAACUUUCAUAUUUACCAACUCAGUUCUGAUUGGAUCAUGGUCAAAAUAUUUGCCUAAGUUGAAGCAUUGCAAUAGUAUGCAUAGACUAAACAUGAUGCAGUAUUUGGAGCAUAUUUGUCACUCCAAAAGUCCAAUAAAUGUGAUUUUUAAACCAUUGGAAAGUUAAGAGACAAGGAUAAAACUUUCAUAUUUACUACUUCUCCCAGUUAGAAUCAUAUUGAAGAGAAAAUCUCAUUGGAAGAUGCUCGACUGUUACAGUUUUGCACAAGGCAGCAUGUGGAGGAAGGCCGCAGCCAUAAGUUACUCAAGGCUGCAACACCGAGGAAGCCAAGGCUCAACACUGGUGAAAGGAAGGGCACCAUACAAAUUUUCAAGGAUAGAGCACCGCAGUGCCAAGAAUAAAGGUUGCGGCGCUAAUGCAACAAAAAGGGCAGCGCCAUGAUGCCAAGAAAUCAUGGUCGCGGUGCCAAACAAUUUUUCAAAAGUAGAAAUUUGAUGGGAUUUGGAAAUUACAUUAAUUGGAGCCUAUUUAAGGGACCUUUUUCAAAGGUUUUAGAGGGGAGGCAGCAAGCAAUUAUUCUAGAGAAAAUGAGCCAAGAACAAAGCAACAAAAUAAGACAAUUUGAGAGAUAAUUACGAUUGCAAAGUUUUUAUAAUUAGUUUCUGUCUCUAUUUUUGGUGUUUCUCUUAUUUUCUUUGACUUGGAUUCAUGGCUAAAUUUUUUUAGAUAUUGUUUUUAUUAGAUAUUAUGAGCUAAACUAUUUUUCUAGGAUUUUAGUGGAUUUUAACGUGUAAUUUGAAUAUUAGUUUCUCUUUUAUUUACUAUGAAUGGAUAUAGUUUUGCUUAUUCAAAUAUGCUCUUAAUGCUUUUGAAAGCCUGGCCAACAGUCAACUGAUUUGUGAAUCUAAUUGAGACUCAACAGAGAGAUUUUAGAUUGCACGAAGGUUUAAAUUGUGUAUGUUCAUGCCACUUAGGUGAUCUGAUUCUCGAUUCGGGUAAACAUAUGCCAAUUGCCCUACGUAACCAAAUUAGAACACAAGCUUAAUGAACCUUAUUUAAUAAUUCCUAUAGACAUAUAAUGGCCAAAUUAAGUUUGGUAUGUGUGCAAACAUCUCAAUGGAGACUUAUAUGUAGCUUUGGAUUCUAGGUUAGUAAAACCACCCAUGAAUGUAAAUAAUAGGAGAAGCUGGUAUUAGAUGAAGUGUUGAAUGAACCCAUAAUCCUAGGUCUUUAGUCUAUUAUCUUUCUUUAUUAUAUUUAAUUGCUACUAGUUAUUUUAGUAUUUAUUUUAAUUUUGUUAUUAAUUAGUUUUUUCUUCAAUUUUUGGUUACUGAAAUAAGAUUAAUUUGUUAUAAAAUUUUAAUACUUAGUGAAAAUUUAGAAACAAAUCUUUGUGUGAACAAUACUUUCCUUCUACUAUAUUACUUACUUGUGAUAGCAUGCACUUGCGUGAAAAUUUGAUAACACCUCCAAACUAAACUGAAGUCUAAAUCAUCUUAAUGAUUGAUGGAUUAAUUUCAAAGUUGUUAGCUUGAAUGGUAGGUCUUCGGAUGCUAGAGUGGAGACCUUGUAUUAGUGGGAUAGUAUAUUCCCUCAAAGAUUUAGUCUCUUCCCCUUUUUGAUCAGCCUUUGUUUUACGUUCAGUAUAAACUUGUUGAUUUUUCCUCCGAAGUCUUCGAAAAAAAUUUUUGACUUCUGGAUCAAAAGGAACAAUUUUCAAAUUUUCGUCUUUUCACAUAUAAUGACCAAAAAUACUUGAAAAUUAAAGAAAAUGUUUGAAGUAAGAUUAGGAAAUAUUGGUAUUAAUAUUAACAAGAAAGAAUUAAAAAUCAAUUCCCCAGUAACGAUGCUAAAAACUUAUUAAUUAAUUUUCUACCCACCCAAGUAUAUGUGUCGAAAAAAUAAUAUAAUGAUGAGUAGAGUAUCGAUCUCACAGAGAAUUGAAUUAAUUCUUAUUGUUAAUUACUAAAAUUAACACACUCUAAUUUUAUCCAAACAAUAAAAAUUAAAUUAAAAAGCAAAAUUAAAUUUAACAAACUAAAAAGCUUAAAUUAAUUUAAAAUUAAUCAACAAAAUUACUUUAUUAAACUCAAUUAACUACUAGACCUAAGAUUAUGAUAUCCCUCAAUACUUCAUUUGAUUAUUGUCUCUCUCUCUUAACUUACUUAAAUGGAUUAAUUUGCUAAUCGAGAGUCCUAAAUUAUUUACAAGUCUUCGUCGAGUUUCUCAUAAAAAUAUUUUUCUCAAUUAACUUAUUAUACGUCUAUGCAAAUUAAAUUGAAGAAAGAUUCAUUAAGUUUAUGCUCUAAUCUUGGCUACAUAUGGCUUAUAGGAGUAUGUCUACCUUAUAUGCAAAUCAAGCCCUAUAAUCAACUAAGUUUAUUCAAUCAUAUGCUAUUCUAUUCAAAGUCUACCUAAAUCUCCUUUGUCAGGGUUUAACUUAGGCUUUCAUAUCAAUCUAAUUGGUGAUUAGGCAAUUAAAAACAUUAAGAAUAGAAUAAAAUAAACAACUUAAAACCAUAAACAUAAGCAAAAGAGAGAAAAAUAAAUCAAACUACGUAUUGAGUUCAAUCAUAAUUGUAGAUAACUAAAUUAGUUUCCCAUAAUGUCACACAUCAUCAUCAAAUGAAGUUUUAACAUUAAAACCAAACCAAGAAAAUAAAAGAAUAACAAAAAGAUAAAGAACCCCAAGAAUUACAAUCUUGAUCUCCAAAUCUUCUUGAAUCCCUUGAUUUCUUCUCAACUUCAAUGAGACUUUUUUCAAUGAUUUCGUGGUUUAUUCUCAACUCUAAAUCUAGUGUUUCGUGCCUCUAAAAGGUUUCUUACAUAGGGUCCAAGUUCAUGCCAAGAAAGAAAUUUAAUCUGAAAAGGAUUCUACAUGAUUUCCUUUGAGCGUCGCAGCCCUCAUCAUCUAAAGCCACAGCUCUGAAUAUCCUAUAUUAUUGUCCACAUUUCUAAUGUAGUUUUUCAAAUUUGACAAAGAUUUAAACCACUUCCCGAUCAGAACUAGGCAAAUUGGAAAACGUGAAAGUUAUAGUGUUUUCUCUUAGCUUUCUAAUGAUCUAAUAAUCACCUUAUUUGGAGUUUUGUAGCAAAAGUUAUGGUUGAAAUAUUGAGACACAUGCAGUGAAGGUCUACACCCAACUUGACAACUUUUCUCUCUUUUAAUUUCAUACCUACGAUAUCAACAAAUUAAUCAAUAAUAACAUAUCUUAGGCACAUAAACACCAAUUUAGGCACAAAAUUCUCUAAGAUUAGAUUGACUCGUCUAAUUAACUAACUUAAAAUAAUUAAGUAAAACCUAAUUAAUUUCUAUACAUUACUACAAGACUAAGCUAACUUAAUAUCAAAAUUAAAUCCAAUUUAUAUCAUAGAGUUAUCAGAAAGAAAGAAAAGAAAAAGUUGAAGUGUUGAACACAAGAAAAAUUUGAUGAAAAAAGGGUAUAUUAGGCGAAGGAAAAUAAAGCUUUAAAUAAGUCCUAGAAUGGCUAUGUGCUUAGGGUGAUUUGAGCUACAUAUUAUUCCAUAUCCUACCUUAACCCUAGCCAUAUAUUACAAGCUCAUUAAAGUCCUUUUGAUUUUUAACUUAGUAUUAGUCUACAUUAGUGGAGAGAGGGAUGAAAACGAAACCUAUGGAACUUUAAUAAUAAUUUGAAUUUUGCAUGCAUAUAAACUUAUUCAAAUUAUAUAAUGUUCAAGGUGAAAAGAUUACACACACAUAGGGAAAUCCACUUAACAAUAAACUUGCAUUUGAAUUGAAAUGUGAGCUUGAAUAAUAUUUGUGUGUUGCUUAAAGUUGAGAAUAUGGAUUAACUUUCGAGGAUAUUAAAGGUAAUCAAUGAGUUGGUGUAAUUGAUUUCUAAUUAAGUGUUUUCUUCAUUUAGGUUGUUGCAUUUUAUUUUAUGUUUUGCUUGAGGACUAGCAAAAUCUUAAGUUUGGAGGUGUGAUAACUCUAUUAUAUAGAGUUAUUUUGACACAUUUUAGAGGCUUAAGUAGCUAGGUCUUUGAGAUUUUAGGUUCGAAUUCUAGUAUGUUAGGUGUUUUUCUUAAUUAAGUUUAAUUACAUGUUGAGUAGUUUAAUUUAAGUUAUUUUAGUUCAAUUUUACUUUAUUUUGCUUUAAAUUACUUUAAGAAUAGUUAUUGUUGAUUUCUCUUAUUGUUUUUGUAAGAAAUUUGAUGAGAAAGGUUAAUUUGAUGAAAAAUCACACAAGUAUGGUGAUGGCUCAAUUUAUACAUGUUGUCAUAUUUCAAGGUUAAAUUGAGCUACAGAAGUCAAAUUGAUGCACUUCUUAAUCUAUUGGAUAGAUUAGAGAUAGGGCUAUAACUUUUAUGUUUACCAUUUUACCCAUUUUGGAUUAGAUCAAUAUGAAAUCAUGUUGGAAUAGGCUAGGCUGUUAUAGUUCUGCACAAGGCAACACAUGGAAUAAAAGUUGCGACCUUGAGCUGCUCAAGGCUGCGGUGCCAAGGAGGCCAAGGUUGUGGCACUGAGGAUAGUGUGGUUGCAGCAAUGGUUGAAUGUACAUCCCCAUAGUGCCACUCAAGAGUAAAAGGCCGAAGCGUUACAAGUGAGGCCAUAGCCAAGAAAGGCAGUGUCGUAGAACCAAUAAAUUUUCCAAAAAUAAAAUGUUUUGCAAGAUUUAGGAAAUUAGGGUUUUUGGAGCUUAUUUAAAGGAUCCUUUUUUAAGGCUUUUAGGAAAGGACGACGAGCAACUAUUUUAGAGAAAAGGUGCCAAACCCUGUUCUAUAAAAUAAUUACGAUGCCAUUUACAUGCUCACUAAAAUGGUUGCAUAUUUAGGAAGUUUGAGAAAUCAUUAAAAGAUGAUAUUGCCCCUAAUAGUAUCAUUAAGUUGAUUAAGCCUCGAACUAGUUCAAAUAGGAAUUUUAAGGUGAAAUUAAGAGUUUCACAGUCCAGGGAUGACUCAAAAUGGUAAUUCGGAGUUCGAGGAUCAAUUUGGAGUCAAACCAAAAUUUUCACUAUCUAGGGGCAAAAUGGUCAUUUGCCACUUGGGGAUAAAAUGAGAAUUUUAAAAAAAAAUUAUUGGCCCCAUUUGACUUAUUGGAGUAUGAUUUGAGCAUUAGAGUAUGAUUUGAGGUUGAGAAGUGAAAAAUUGUAAUCCUGACAUUUUUCAGAGCAUAGGGGUAAAAUGGUAAUUUUACCACUACAGGGGCAAAAUUGUAAUUUUCCACCACCAAGACAUUUGUCCAGCACAUGGUCUUCCCUUAUCCUCAUUUUGACCUUUGACUAAUCAUGUGGUGGAGAUAAAAGGUUUAAAAAUGUUUAAAGUUUUAAAAAUGAACCAAUGAAAACAUGCCAUGUGUCAAGCUUAGGAUAUUUUAUUAUUUAACUUAAAAAUCAGCAUAAAUCAGCCCAUUAUCUCUCCAAAUAUUCAGCCAAGCAAGGAAGAGAGGGAAAGAAAGGAAGAACAAACUCUAGGUGAAGAAUUUCAAGAGAAAAAGUGUGGAAAAUCAAGGAAAACAAGUGAAAAAUGUAAGAUUUUUCAACUUAAGCUUGAAAUCUAUUUUCCUUAAGCAUUUCCCCUUAUUUUCCAUGGUUAAAUUACAUGUUUUCAUGAUGAAUUCAUGGCUGGUCAAAAUGGGAAUGGAGAGAAAAAGAUGUUAGAUUGAUUUGAUUCUAAGUUAUGUUAGUGUUUUUAGUUAGUUUAGCAUAUUUAGAAACAAAACAACAAGAAAAUAAUCCAUUUUCCCCAUGAACCUUCAAUGGCCGAACCCUAUGUGAAGUGUAGAAGUAAUGAAUUGAUUUUGCGAUCAAGUGAAUUGGUUGAAAAAUUGAUGAAAUGAUUAUUUAUGGUGAGAAAAUGGAAUGGGAAAAUUUUUAGUGAUAGUGCACCACAAUGGCUGAAAUUUUCAAGAAGAAUUAUGAGGGUUGUUAGGCUGAAUUUUAGAUUAUUGGAAUUGUAUUUAAUGAAUUGAAAUAUUAGAAAUGAAAUGAAGCAAUUUGGAGCGAAAUCGGACACAAUUGUCACUUAAUCGGGUAAUAGGCCGAAUUAGGUCAGCACCGCAUUUAAACGGUAGUCGUAUAAGUUGCAUAUCAUAUCAUGCAUAUACAUCGAGCCUGAAUUGAUUUUAUAAUGGUCAAGCAUUAAUGUGGAGAAUUAUGUAUUGUACAUUAUGGAUAGGUGGUGAGUAAAUUACACUGGUAAAAGUACAGAGAUUGUACUUGGAGACUGGGAUUAGGAGUACAUCGACUCCUAAAACUGUGAGAAAACUUAUUAUCGUCUUAAUUAUCUAAAGUAGUUUUAUACAAUUGUAUGAUUUUAUAGAAAUGAGUUUAAAUGGUAAAUUGCUAUGUUUUAGGAGAAAUUGUGAUUUUAUAAAAUGAUUUUAUAAAUUUUUUGAAAAAUUGAAUACUGGUUUUGAAAAUAGAGUAAUUGGAGACUGCCUGCUUGUAUUAUAAAUUGUGUUUUCAAAACCAUCCAGCCAUUCAUGCCCACAUUAUCAUAAGCCAUUCAAUUCAAAACAUAAUUUACAAUACAGCAAGUAGUCUCCAAUUACUCCAUUUUCAAAACCAUCAUUCAAUUUCAAGACAAUUUAUAAAAUCAUUUCAUUUAAUCACAUUUUGCUUAUAAAACAUAAAGAUUUACUAUUUAAACUCAUUUUUCCAUCAAAUCACAAAAAUGAAUAAAAACUACUUUAGAUAAUUAAGACGAUAAUAAGGUUACUCAUUGUAAUGGGAAUCGAAUUCGGGAUACUUUGAUUCUUGAUCCUUAGAUACUACCCCUUUCCUCUUGCCAGAAUGCUCACCACCUUGACAUAAUGCACAAUAAGCAAUUUGUUACAUUUGUGUUAAACCGUUGUAAAACCAAUUCAGGCUUUACUAAUGCAUGAAAUGGGAUGUGAAAUACUCGAGUAACUAUCUAAAUACGGUGUUCAAUAUAAAUUCAAUUAUGUACCUAAAUAAAAUGGUAUUGGCCUAAUUCGAUCUAUCACCCGAUUAAUUGGCCAAUACGUCCAAUUCAACUCCAAACAAUUUCAUUUCUCUCCCAAUACUCCAAAUCAUUAAACACAAUUUAAAUAACUUGAAAUGUGGCAAAAUCAUCCUCACAUUUUCUCUUGAAAAAUUCGGCCAUGGUGAGUGCACUAACAAUAUAAUUUUUCAUGCUUGAUUCUCACACCAUAAAUCAUUCAUUCCUAAUCAAAUCACUUGAAAUUCAAUCAAAUUCAUCAUCAAUAUUCCACAUGGAAUAUUCUGCCAAUGAAGGUGAUGUAAGAACAUGAAUUUUUCUUAUUUGCUUUUCAUACUACACAUCACCAAACAACUAAAAACACUAGAAUAACAUGUUUUCUAACUAAAUUCAUCAUCAAAUUCUCUCUCCUAAGGGUUGAUCAACACACUAUCCUUCAUGAUAUCUUGUGAUUCAACCAUGAAAAAUGCAAAAUAAUGCAUAGAAAAGGUAGAUCACAAGCUAGCAUUAAGAAAUUUUACCUUUAAUGGCUUGAUUCCUUGAAAAUCAACAAUUUCCCUUUGAAUUUUUCUCUCUAUGGUUUUUGUUCUUCCUUUUUUCUCUUUUUCUCUCUUUGGCAGACCAAG
Molecule: long non-coding RNA, 11225 nt
Filed under: Theobroma cacao (cacao)
Lineage: Eukaryota; Viridiplantae; Streptophyta; Magnoliopsida; Malvales; Malvaceae
Description: long non-coding RNA (TCAC_LNC005382)
Source: RNAcentral